Molecule: long non-coding RNA, 409 nt
Filed under: Drosophila guanche
Lineage: Eukaryota; Metazoa; Arthropoda; Insecta; Diptera; Drosophilidae
Source: RNAcentral
CUUACAUACUUUUGGGCUAAAAGUUUUAUAAAAAAUGACUGGUAUAGCUCAACAAAUACCAAAUUUUGGUAUUUAACCAACAAAAAAUUCUAAUUUGUGCACAAAAAAUUGUCAAGUAAUAGAACAACCAAACAAGCGCCAUCUGUUGAAAUCUAUGAAAUAAUACUGGGACUGGGCUGAAAACUUUCUGACAGAAGAUCGUUACCAUGAAACGUAGAAGAGUAUUUUCAUGGCGUCGAGUUUUCGGAUUUAGUGGGAACGAACAUUAACGGUCGUUGAAUUUUAAAUUCAAAUCCGCGAAAAAUAAGGUACCAUACUAUAACACCUUGGUGAGGAGUGGGCAGGGGAAGGUAUUAAAGGAAUUCAUUUAAUGUUAUUUUAAUUGUAUAUUUGUAAUAUUAAUAAAAAG